UACAGCGGGAAGCCAGGCGGUGACGCCGAGCGGAACCCGAAAGCCCCUCUCAGUUCGGAUCGGAGUCUGCAACCCGACUCCGUGAAGCUGGAUUCGCUAGUAAUCGCGCAUCAGCCAUGGCGCGGUGAAUACGUUCCCGGGCCUUGUACACACCGCCCGUCAAGCCAUGGGAGCCGGGAGCGCUUGAAGUGCGUCGCCGCGAGGCGCGCCCUAGAGCGAGACCGGUGACUGGGGCUAAGUCGUAACAAGGUAUC
RNAcentral lists this ribosomal RNA (254 nucleotides) under uncultured bacterium. Its description in RNAcentral is "partial 16S ribosomal RNA". It matches the Rfam family "Bacterial small subunit ribosomal RNA", at positions 1238 to 1500 of the family's 1533-position model. The record is from RNAcentral.